GAGAUAUUAGUAAAAUAAUUACAUAACUUUGUCAANGNUAAUU
Molecule: transfer RNA, 43 nt
Filed under: Tamiops mcclellandii collinus
Lineage: Eukaryota; Metazoa; Chordata; Mammalia; Rodentia; Sciuridae
Description: partial tRNA-Asp
Source: RNAcentral